RNAcentral lists this long non-coding RNA (415 nucleotides) under Aotus nancymaae (Ma's night monkey). RNAcentral's name for it is "lncRNA (ENSANAG00000039066.1)". The record is from RNAcentral. Lineage: Eukaryota; Metazoa; Chordata; Mammalia; Primates; Aotidae.
GUGCCAGCUUCCCAGGGUCCUGGCAGGUGUCAGACUUGGGAAUAGCACAAUUGGCCAUGAGCCAGGAGCGACUCACAGGCAUGGGGAUCCAGCCCUCCUUGAUCUCCCCCACCUUCCUAGAUGGACUUGCAGCUUAUUUUCCGGAUGCUUCUUGUCUGGGUCCCCGGGUGCAGAACUUACUGAUUGAAAUGCUAGGAGGGUUUUCUGUGUGACUCCACCCUGGAUGUCCCCAGUACCUGCUCCUCCACUCAGGGAACACCCAGGCUCAGACCCCAAGCUCCUCUGAGCUGCCAGUAGGAUUCUGCUUCCGAGGCCAGAGGUGAGUCCAGGCUCUGUGGGAGGCUCUCAGGGGCUCAGCACAGCUCCACAUCACCCCACACAGAGGAGGCUGGGCCCCAGCACCUGCCCCGGGAAG